UACGUAGGGCGCAAGCGUUGUCCGGAAUUAUUGGGCGUAAAGAGCUCGUAGGCGGUCUGUCGCGUCUGGUGUGAAAUCCCGAGGCUCAACCUCGGGCUUGCAUCGGGUACGGGCAGACUAGAGUGCGGUAGGGGAGACUGGAAUUCCUGGUGUAGCGGUGGAAUGCGCAGAUAUCAGGAGGAACACCGAUGGCGAAGGCAGGUCUCUGGGCCGGUACUGACGCUGAGACGCGAAAGCGUGGGGAGCGAACAGG
RNAcentral lists this ribosomal RNA (253 nucleotides) under uncultured bacterium. RNAcentral describes it as "partial 16S ribosomal RNA". It matches the Rfam family "Bacterial small subunit ribosomal RNA", at positions 524 to 776 of the family's 1533-position model. The record is from RNAcentral.